This 649-nucleotide ribosomal RNA is filed under the name uncultured fungus. RNAcentral describes it as "eukaryotic LSU rRNA". The stretch from base 349 to 649 matches the Rfam family "Eukaryotic large subunit ribosomal RNA", at positions 1 to 299 of the family's 3401-position model. The record is from RNAcentral. Lineage: Eukaryota; Fungi.
CGGAUCUCUUGGCUCUCGCAUCGAUGAAGAACGCAGCGAAAUGCGAUAGGUAAUGUGAAUUGCAGAAUUCAGUGAAUCAUCGAAUCUUUGAACGCACAUUGCGCCCUUUGGUAUUCCUUAGGGCAUGCCUGUUCGAGCGUCACUACACACCUUAUCACAAAGUUUGUGGUCUUGGCAGGAGUGAAUUGCUAGUCUAUUAAAAUGUUCCAGCUGUACACUCUGCUAAAAAUUAUGAGAAGGUUACCAGGCAUGAACGACGGACUUUAUAAACGGUUAUAAGACCUGGAUCAGUCACAAGUCUUGUCUGGUCCUUACCUUAAGGACCCCCAUCCUAGAUGAACUAUGGGUUGACCUCGAAUCAGGCAGGGAUACCCGCUGAACUUAAGCAUAUCAAUAAGCGGAGGAAAAGAAACCAACAGGGAUUGCCCUAGUAACGGCGAGUGAAGCGGCAAAAGCUCAAAUUUGAAAUCUGGCACCUUUGGUGUCCGAAUUGUAAUUUGGAGAGGCAACUUCGGGUAGGACCCAGUCUAUGUUCCUUGGAACAGGACGUCAUAGAGGGUGAGAAUCCCGUUCAUGACUGGAUGUUCCUACUAGUACGUAGUGCCUUCUACGAGUCGAGUUGUUUGGGAAUGCAGCUCAAAAUGGGUGG